AUGACGUUGUUUGAGCCAUGCUUCCUGAUGACACCGCAUCUCUUACUGUCAUCACCUCAUCCAUAUUGAUCUAUUUAAUUUGGAAAAAAAAAAAACGUAAGAUAUCUCUCUUUGCAGCAUGUCUGCCUUACGUUUUUCUCUCUUGUCAACUUCCUCUUUGCAAAAAAGAAGCAAAAGAGGAAAUGAAGAAGAAAGAAAGUUAUCAAUGUAAAAUUAGAAAAUAAAAUGUAUCUAUCAUGGCCAGUCCCUAUAGAUAAUGGCAACAAUGCCUCUCCAAAGGCAAUGGAAUAUGAGACCUCCCAUUAACAGGGAAACUUUCCCCGAUAGGAAAAAGCUUCAUCAAUACCAACAAGGAUUCCUUUCUGAAGUUUGCUUCUGAAUUUACAAACAUCAAACCAUCUGUUUGUCUGCCCCAAUAAAAGCAAUCGAUUUUGAUAUUAAAAUCACGCCAACUUUAAAACAAAACUGUAAAGCUUUUUUUUUCUUAAAAGAAAAAGAUAAAAGGAAUAAAUGAAAUGUACAAUGGCGAGUUCCGAAGAGUAAUGACAGUGAUGCUUCUACACAGGGUGAUGGAAUAUGAGACCUGCCCUUCCCGCAGAAGAGGUCCACCAGAAAAGGAGGACCUCAACUAUUAAGGGAAAUUUUACUUUUAGAUUAUGCAGAUUGAAGACACUGAUUCUCAUUUCCUCCAACUCAAGUAAGGGAUUUCUUGAAGGAAGUCCCCUGUCAAAUAUGUUGCAAAAUUAUAGGCAAGCAAAAAGAGCCAAAAAUAAAUUACAACAAUGGCAUCACUAGCUACUGAUUUAUUUGGGAAAAAACAAAUCCUCCAAACUGUGAGUCUACUUGAGAAUAGGGAAGGUGUAAGCAACCUACAACUUCCAUCCUAAAACCUAUUACCCAAAAGUUUUAGUUUGGCCACAAAAAAAUGUUAAUUUAAUUGAUGUAUAAAUUUAUUUUCCUUCCAGUAAAAAUUAAAUGCCAUAUUAUCAUUAUUUUUUUUUUGAAACAAAAUUCAUUUUUAUUUUAAAAUAGUUUAAAUAUCCCAUUUUAACUUAAGAACUUGUACACUGGUAUGGAUAUGCAUGCAUGAAUUACAAAGCUAUUGCUUUUGGGCUUAUAUAAAGGAGGAGGAGCACAUUUAUUUAUUAAGUCUAUGUCAAAUCUUUUAUUUUUAUUUGCUUAUCCAAAUGAUCUUAUGAAAUAUUACCAUGAUAAUUAAUACUCAUACCAGAAGAAAUGGAAACAUAGCAAAAUGACUUCUAUCAACAUGUGCUUUGAGUGCAGAAAUAAACAAAAAAAGACAUUCCAACCAAGUUUGCUACAAUUUGCACCAUUAUCUACAAUCAGGUAUAGAGAUCCAUUAAAAAACACUACAGUAUUGAAAUAAAAUUAAUUACAUCCCAAGCAUGCAUUAUAGCACUGAUUACCGUUUGAAGCUCACCCGCCCUUCCCAUCAUCAGAUGACAACAAGCUUUCUUUGGUUAAUUUCAAAUGCAAAACCAUAUCACUUUUAUCAAGUCAAGAAAGUAGGAGCAACAGUUCAUAGUUAAAAAUUACAAGAAUUUUCUAAAUCCACAAAUAUCCAAUUACAUCAAGCCCAAAUCAAAGUGCAAAAUCCAUCUCUUGAAAACAAUUCUAGGCUCUCAAGUCUACCAAAAGGUAUCAAAAUUAUCCAAGGAAUUUUCAAUGAUGUCUCAAAUCAAACACAAGAAAUCAUAACUCACAAUUGAUGCACGUAUCAGUAUCCAUCAACUCAACCAAGCAUCAAAAUAUCAAUAUCAAAACCCCUACAUACAACUGAAGCCAAUUUAUAUUCAUGACAUGUUAAGACAUGCACAGCGUUUUACAUUUUUUUUAGAAAAAGGGAAUCAAACUAUGGCUGAAUUACGUAACUGACAACACAAACAAUAGAAUUGCUUUGCCAGGACAAGCUAUCUGUUACCGAUCCAUGUAUCUCCAAACACUAAGGACAAUUGACAAAUUUCAAAUAACUCCCAAUUAAGAUAGAUCACAUAAUACCCACAUGUUCUAAGUACCAUUAAAAUUCAAACAUAAACAUCCAGUGAAGCAAUUAAGUUCAGAAAUGAUGCUACUCCAUAUUGAUCAGAUCAAAAACUUAACUAAAAUUAAGCUCAUAAAUUCAUUCUACAUAAAGUAUGGCGUAACAUAACCAAGCAUAAUAUUGAAAUCAAACUCAAGUAAUUAAAAGUUAAAACAACAAAACUACGAUCUGUCUUCCAGGCUACUCACUCAGCUUAAGCAUUUACUUUAAUCUAAUGAACAAUAUAAUUCUAAAGCAGCAGAAUAGCCAAUCGGCCAGUAGCCCAACAAAAUCAAAUGAAUUUCUAAAACAGAUUUUUCAUGGCACGUGUACGAAGUAGAAAUGAAAAUCGAAGGGAAACGUGAACAAAAAGUUUAAAACGAAAGAGACUCACCUACUGAGAAUGUACUUCUCAGAAAACUCACCGGAAGGGAUGAAAACCCGGGAGCAGGAUUCAAUGUAAUUAUCGGAAACGCACCGCGCGCUGGUAUUGCUGCCGAUGAGAACUGAGAAUUGCUGGAAAUUCUUGAGGCCGAGGGAGGUGCUCCGGUGCUGGUCAAGGCCCUUCGGUGCUGGUCAAGGCCCUUGAAGUCUCGUCGUUUGGCCGGAUCGAAUGCUCAAAAGAUCGGCAUCAAGCCUUCAACGCAUUCCGAUCUUCCCCGGAGCGAUGGUUUCCAGGGAAACUAGAUUAAGGGAAGGUGCUAUGGAGAUAAAGCUGCGUCAAACAAAAGACUUUGGGUUCUGUCUGCGCUGGGAGAUGUUGCUAUACG
RNAcentral lists this unclassified non-coding RNA (2811 nucleotides) under Hevea brasiliensis (rubber tree). Lineage: Eukaryota; Viridiplantae; Streptophyta; Magnoliopsida; Malpighiales; Euphorbiaceae. The record is from RNAcentral.